Molecule: unclassified non-coding RNA, 201 nt
Filed under: uncultured Pleosporales
Lineage: Eukaryota; Fungi; Ascomycota; Dothideomycetes; Pleosporales
Description: sequence contains ITS1
Source: RNAcentral
UCCAUCUCAACCAGGUGCGGUCGCGGCCCCUGAGGGCUUAUGAACUCAGGUGGUAGGUAUCCCAACCUCACGCGCCGCGCUCCUGAACCCCUUUUUUACGAGUACCUCCAUAUUCUUCUUCGGCAGGGUAAACCUGUCGUCAAAGUUCUACAAAACCUUUUUUGCAUCUAGCAUUACCUGUUCUGAUACAAACAAUCGUUA